RNAcentral lists this ribosomal RNA (325 nucleotides) under uncultured eukaryote. RNAcentral's name for it is "partial 18S ribosomal RNA". It matches the Rfam family "Eukaryotic small subunit ribosomal RNA", at positions 1470 to 1796 of the family's 1831-position model. The record is from RNAcentral.
CCCUUAGAUGUUCUGGGCCGCACGCGCGCUACACUGAUGCAUUCAACGAGCCUAUCCUUGACCGACAGGUCCGGGUAAUCUUUGAAUCUGCAUCGUGACGGGGAUAGAUUAUUGCAAUUAUUAAUCUUCAACGAGGAAUGCCUAGUAGGCGCAAGUCAUCAGCUUGCGUCGAUUACGUCCCUGCCCUUUGUACACACCGCCCGUCGCUCCUACCGACUGGGUGUGCUGGUGAAAUGUUCGGAUCGGCCGUUUGUCGCGGUUUCCGCGGCUCGUGGCUGAGAAGUUCAUUAAACCCUCCCACCUAGAGGAAGGAGAAGUCGUAACA